GACCUGGCUCAAGAUAACUCGCCUUUAAAGAGAAAGCAAGUCUAGGCUUUUUCUGGGGAAUAUUGAUGAUAUGAGAAAGGUGGAGUUUGAGAGUUUAAAACCAAACUGAAUGAAGUGAAGUGGGCAAAAAGUCCGUUACCGUAGCUGAAAUUGCCCGAGACGACUCGCAUUUGGCUUAAGAUAACUCGCCUUUUGAAGAGAAAGCACGUCUACGCAUUUUCUUGGGAGUUGUUGAUGAUAUGAGAAAGGUGGAGUUUAAAAGCUAAAACCAAACCGAAUAUAGAAAUGAGCUGGGAAAGAAAACCCAUAGCUGAAAUUCCCCGAGAUGACUCGCAUUUAAAGAGACGGCAAGUCCAAA
This is a long non-coding RNA of Dendronephthya gigantea, 358 nucleotides long. RefSeq lists it as uncharacterized. The record is from RefSeq and is a predicted model, not a curated record. The transcript has 3 exons. NCBI's taxonomy places the organism in Eukaryota, Metazoa, Cnidaria, Anthozoa, Malacalcyonacea, Nephtheidae.